RNAcentral lists this ribosomal RNA (253 nucleotides) under uncultured bacterium. RNAcentral describes it as "partial 16S ribosomal RNA". It matches the Rfam family "Archaeal small subunit ribosomal RNA", at positions 474 to 727 of the family's 1478-position model. The record is from RNAcentral.
UACCAGCACCCCGAGUGGUCGGGACGAUUAUUGGGCCUAGAGCAUCCGUAGCCGGUCCUACAAGUCUUCCGUUAAAUCCACCUGCUUAACAGAUGGGCUGCGGAAGAUACUAUAGGGCUAGGAGGCGGGAGAGGCGAGCGGUACUCAGUGGGUAGGGGUAAAAUCCGUUGAUCCAUUGAAGACCACCAGUGGCGAAGGCGGCUUGCCAGAACGCGCUCGACGGUGAGGGAUGAAAGCUGGGGGAGCAAACCGG